CCUACGUGGGGCAGCAGUGGGGAAUAUUGCGCAAUGGGCGAAAGCCUGACGCAGCGACGCCGCGUGAGGGAUGAAGGUCUUCGGAUCGUAAACCUCUGUCAGCAGGGAAGAACGGUCACUGUGCUAAUCAGCAGUGAAUUGACGGUACCUGCAAAGGAAGCACCGGCUAACUCCGUGCCAGCAGCCGCGGUAAUACGGAGGGUGCGAGCGUUAAUCGGAAUUACUGGGCGUAAAGCGCUCGUAGGCGGUAUGUCAAGUCAAGGGUGAAAUCCCCGCGCUCAACGUGGGAACUGACUUUGAAACUGGCAAACUGGAGUGUGUGAGAGGAUAGUGGAAGUCCAGGUGUAGGAGUGAAAUCCGUAGAUAUCUGGAGGAACAUCAGUGGCGAAGGCGACUAUCUGGCACAUAACUGACGCUGAGGAGCGAAAGCGUGGGUAGCAAACAGGAUUAGAUACCCGGGUAGUC
RNAcentral lists this ribosomal RNA (465 nucleotides) under uncultured bacterium. RNAcentral's name for it is "partial 16S ribosomal RNA". It matches the Rfam family "Bacterial small subunit ribosomal RNA", at positions 338 to 795 of the family's 1533-position model. The record is from RNAcentral.